RNAcentral lists this long non-coding RNA (747 nucleotides) under Ananas comosus (pineapple). Its description in RNAcentral is "long non-coding RNA (ACOM_LNC010976)". Lineage: Eukaryota; Viridiplantae; Streptophyta; Magnoliopsida; Poales; Bromeliaceae. The record is from RNAcentral.
UAUAUAGAGAGAGAGUUGGGCUAGGAUAUUUUUACAAGUAUCACUCCCAUGGUGCUAUUAGGUUUUUAACCAUUGGAUCUACUUCUUGAUUACUAAUAGUCCUUGGAUCAAACACUAUUCCACCUACCACCACCUACCACCAUCAUCUCAACCUCACAUCUNGUCCUUGGAUCAAACACUAUUCCACCUACCACCACCUACCACCAUCAUCUCAACCUCACAUCUCUCCAUCCAAGGGCUAAAAACACUAAAGCACCACCUCCAUGGUACUUGCAAAAGUAUUCUAACUCCAUUAUAUAUAUAUAUAUAUAUAUAUAUAUAUAUAUAUAGUCCCGCUACUAUGCUAUCAGUAGCACGAAGCGCUCCGUGCUACCAAAUUAUUUUUGAUGAUCGGCUUCAUUAGACUUGAUCAACACUAUUGAAAGUUUUUGGAAACUAAAUUUCAGAUUUUUUCGACAUCAUUUGACUAGUGAUCAAAAGAUUUCAAAAUUGACAAUUUUAAUGACCGAUGUAGUGUGUUUGUGAGUUUAACGGUGUAAAACAAUCCAAAUGCGAUAAAAAUUUUAUAGAAAAUUCUUUUCACUAUUUAGAGUAAGAUCAGUAUAUCUGAUCUUGAAUUUAAAUCUUUUAUCAUAAUUUUUCAUGAGAUUUUUAUUUUCAGCCGUUCAAUUUUAGACUACUUGUUUGAUAGGUAAAUGAUAUCGAAAAAUUAUGAAAUUUAGUUUCUAAAUACUUUCAAUAGUUUAG